AGGCCACUGCUAUCGGGGUUCGAUUAAGCCAUGCGAGUCGAGAGGUGCAAGACCUCGGCGCACUGCUCAGUAACACGUGGAUAACCUACCCUGUGGAGGGGGAUAACCCCGGAAAACUGGGGAUAAUACCCCAUAGAUUAGGGAUGCUGGAAUGCCCCCUAGUUCAAAGGUCCGCCGCCACAGGAUGGGUCUGCGGCCGAUUAGGUUGUUGUUGGGGUAACGGCCCAACAAGCCAUUGAUCGGUACGGGUUGUGGGAGCAAGAGCCCGGAGAUGGAUUCUGAGACACGAAUCCAGGCCCUACGGGGCGCAGCAGGCGCGAAAACUUUACAAUGCGAGAAAUCGUGAUAAGGGAACCCCGAGUGCCCGUAAAUUCGGGCUGUCCGUCAGUGUAAAUAACUGGCGAAGAAAGGGCCGGGCAAGACCGGUGCCAGCCGCCGCGGUAAUACCGGCGGCUCGAGUGGUGGCCGCUAUUACUGGGCCUAAAGCGUCCGUAGCUGGGUUGUUAAGUCUCCUGGGAAAUCCACCGGCUCAACCGAUGGGCGUUCAGGAGAUACUGGCAACCUAGGGACCGGGAGAGGUGAGAGGUACUCCAGGGGUAGGAGUGAAAUCCUGUAAUCCUUGGGGGACCACCUGUGGCGAAGGCGUCUCACCAGAACGGCUCCGACAGUGAGGGACGAAAGCUGGGGGAGCAAACCGGAUUA
RNAcentral lists this ribosomal RNA (702 nucleotides) under uncultured archaeon. RNAcentral describes it as "bacterial SSU rRNA". It matches the Rfam family "Archaeal small subunit ribosomal RNA", at positions 21 to 731 of the family's 1478-position model. The record is from RNAcentral.